This 444-nucleotide long non-coding RNA is filed under the name Homo sapiens (human). RNAcentral describes it as "non-protein coding lnc-PROKR2-1:1". Lineage: Eukaryota; Metazoa; Chordata; Mammalia; Primates; Hominidae. The record is from RNAcentral.
AUGGCGCUGAAACGGAUUAAUAAGGAACUUAGUGAUUUGGCCCGUGACCCUCCAGCACAAUGUUCUGCAGGUCCAGUUGGGGAUGAUAUGUUUCACUGGCAAGCCACAAUUAUGGGACCUCAUGACAGACCAUAUCAAGGCGGUGUAUUCUUUUGGACAAUUCGUUUUCCUACAGACUACCCCUUCAAACCAUCUAAGGUUGCAUUUACAACAAGAAUUUAUCACCCAAAUAUUAACAGUAAUGGCAGCAUUUUUCUUGACAUUCUAAGAUCACAGUGGUCGCCUGCUUUAACACUUUCUAAAGUUCUUUUAUCCAUUUGUUCACUGCUAUGUGAUCCAAACCCAGAUGAUCCCCUAGUGCCAGAGAUUGCACGGAUCUAUAAAACAGACAGAGAUAAGUACAACAGAAUAUCUCGGGAAUGGACUCAGAAGUAUGCCAUGUGA